This 422-nucleotide ribosomal RNA is filed under the name uncultured bacterium. RNAcentral's name for it is "bacterial SSU rRNA". It matches the Rfam family "Bacterial small subunit ribosomal RNA", at positions 29 to 492 of the family's 1533-position model. The record is from RNAcentral.
AACGAACGCUGGCGGCAGGCCUCAAACAUGCAAGUCUAGGGGGUGUAGCAAUACAUCACCGGCGGACGGGUGCGUAACACGUGGGAAUAUACCUUUUGGUUCGGAACAACGCAGGGAAACUUGCGCUAAUACCGAAUGUGCCCUUACGGGGAAAGAUUUAUCGCCAAAGGAUUAGCCCGCGUAGGAUUAGCUAGUUGGUGAGGUAAUGGCUCACCAAGGCUCCGAUCCUUAGCUGUUCUGAGAGGAAGAUCAGCCACACUGGGACUGAGACACGGCCCAGACUCCUACGGGAGGCAGCAGUUGGGAAUCUUGGACAAUGGGGGAAACCCUGAUCCAGCCAUGCCGCGUGAGUGAUGAAGGCCUCGGUUGUAAACGUACUUCGUACGGGACGGAGUAAUAGACGGUACCCGUACGAAGAAGAC